Molecule: long non-coding RNA, 1062 nt
Organism: Lathyrus oleraceus (garden pea)
Lineage: Eukaryota; Viridiplantae; Streptophyta; Magnoliopsida; Fabales; Fabaceae
Exons: 3
Source: RefSeq, a predicted model, not a curated record
CUGAUUACUCCAGGUUCCAAUUCAAUUCCUCACAUAACGGACUACAUGCUUAUUCCCUUUUUAAUUUUUAUUUCUCGGUAUAUACAUGAUUUGAUUCCAUAUUCAAUUUACUAUCCAUGAAUUUUUAUGUACAGACGUUCUCAAAUGCUAUGGAAUACAGUUGAAGAAAUAGUUUAUUCAACCUUUUGUCUCUGUGUUUUGGUUACGGGUAUGUUUGUAUGUUUCCACUAAUUUGAAUUAAUCAAAUUUAGUUUAAAGUUCGUCUGUGUAUUUGGUUCUGCCGUGAAGAAAAUUGAUUUUGAUUGAAUUGAUUCUGUAAAAGUAAUUCUGGCUAAAAGUGAUUUACAGUAUGUUUUAGAUAAAUUGUUGCAAAAGUGAGUUGAGCUGUGUUAAGAAAGAAAAAUCAGUUCUACAUGAUUUACAGUAUGUUUUACAGUGAUUUACAGUAUGUUUUACAGUAUGUUAUAGAAAGAAAAAUCAGUUCUACAUGAGAGCAACCGAACAUGUUAAAAUCAAUUUUGGGUGAUCCAAAUGUUAUGGUAUUGAUCAAUAUGACACUCAAGGCUUAGGUCCUUAGAUUCUGCAGCUAAAUUUUAUGUCAUUAUUUGGUAAAUGAUUCUUGGAUUCGUAUUUAUGUGUGACAACUUCAGACAUUUCAAGUUCCGUCUUUUUUGAGAAGAAAAGCCAACCCUAAAAAUGUUGUUUCCAUCAUACUGGGAGGAGGUUCUGGUGUUCAACUUUUUUCUCUUACCAAACGAGCUGCUACACCAGCUGUUCCUGUUGGUGGAUGCUACAGGCUUAUAGACAUUCCAAUGAGCAACUGCAUCAACAGCGGGAUCAACAAAGUAUUUGUAUUGACACAGUUCAACUCAGCAUCCCUUAACCGUCAUAUCUCUCGCACCUAUUUUGGAAAUGGCAUCAACUUUGGAGAUGGAUACGUAGAGAAAAUGGAUCGUACUUGAAGAGAUUUUUGAUUGCUCUACUAGUGAAGCAGAUAGAGGGCAUUGAUGAAGAUAAGCGUGAUGUGACGUGAAUGAGGGUUCAAAUAGAAACAAAAGGGUG